GACGAACGCUGGCGGCGUGCUUAACACAUGCAAGUCGAACGGAAAGGCCCUGCUUUUGUGGGGUGCUCGAGUGGCGAACGGGUGAGUAACACGUGAGUAACCUGCCCUUGACUUUGGGAUAACUUCAGGAAACUGGGGCUAAUACCGGAUAGGAGCUCCUGCUGCAUGGUGGGGGUUGGAAAGUUUCAGCGGGCGGGGAUGGACUCGCGGCUUAUCAGCUUGUUGGUGGGGUAGUGGCUUACCAAGGCAUUGGCGGGUAGCCGGCCUGAGAGGGUGACCGGCCACAUUGGGCCUGAGAUACGGCCCAGACUCCUACGGUAGGCAGCAGUGGGGAAUAUUGCACAAUGGGAGGAAGCCUGAUGCAGCAACGCCGCGUGCGGGAUGCCGGCCUUCUGGUUGUAAACCGCUUUCGCCUGUGACGAAGCGUGAGUGACGGUAAUGGGUAAAGAAGCACCGGCUAACUACGUG
This 468-nucleotide ribosomal RNA is filed under the name uncultured bacterium. RNAcentral describes it as "partial 16S ribosomal RNA". It matches the Rfam family "Bacterial small subunit ribosomal RNA", at positions 28 to 507 of the family's 1533-position model. The record is from RNAcentral.